This is a long non-coding RNA of Telopea speciosissima, 319 nucleotides long. RefSeq lists it as uncharacterized. The transcript is spliced from 3 exons. Lineage: Eukaryota; Viridiplantae; Streptophyta; Magnoliopsida; Proteales; Proteaceae. The record is from RefSeq and is a predicted model, not a curated record.
CUCCUCUUUCAGGAGACAGGAGGAAACCCAUUCAAGAUAUCAAUCAAGUCACAUUUUACAGGAAUCAUCUGUGCUCCAGUAGUAGAGUCCCACUAUCCACUUCUUCACACCUGGUCACAUCCUGAAGUUAUCCAGGGAAAAAUCUCAAUUGAGGAUGUGCCGCAACGCAAGAAAUACACUUGCAGUAUGAUCAUGGACAUGCCAUCUCCAGCAUAACAUUCACUAGUUAUGGUACUCCUGGGAGCAACUGUCAGAAGGUCUAUGUUGGCAACUGCCAUGCACCUAAUUCAUUCUCUAUUGUCUCUGAUGUAAGUGUGGG